GGAUAUGAGGGUGAUCUGGCUGCGACAUCUGUCACCCUGAUCGCCAGGGUUGAUUUGGCUGAUCUAGCUGGCUAGGCGGGUGUCCUCUUCCUCCCUCACCACUCCAUGUGCGUCCCUCCCGAAGCUGCACGCUCGGUCAAAGAGGACGACCAUCCCCGAUAGAGGAGGACCGUUUUUUGGUCAAAGGUAUACAAGUAGCUGUGCUCCCCUGCUAGAACCUCCAAACAAGCUUUCAAGAAAUUGAAUUCUAGAGAACCAGCAGUUAGUGUAAUGGCUAUGUCGCUGGACUCCCACGUAGUCGACUGCGGUUCGCG
RNAcentral lists this small nuclear RNA (314 nucleotides) under Tupaia belangeri chinensis (Chinese tree shrew). Its description in RNAcentral is "Tupaia chinensis (Chinese tree shrew) 7SK RNA". It matches the Rfam family "7SK RNA". Rfam says of the family: 7SK was discovered as an abundant small nuclear RNA in the mid-70s but a possible function has only recently been suggested. Two independent studies have found that 7SK RNA binds the CDK9/cyclin T complex (known as elongation factor P-TEFb). The record is from Rfam by way of RNAcentral. Lineage: Eukaryota; Metazoa; Chordata; Mammalia; Scandentia; Tupaiidae.